CCAAAUUCAAGCUUUUACAGAGCAAAAAAAGCUUUUCGCUCAAAAUUUGCCCCAAAAUCACCCAAUCGUCCCAAGGGAAACUCUCGUUAAAACUACAAAGAUGCAACAACAUUAAAUGGGUGGGUAAGGUUUUCUCUCUACGAGAAUACUGGAGUCCAAGUCGGAGUCGGGAAUGAAGGUUUCUCGAGAGUUUACUGAUGCAAGGUUUCUCCCUUCUAAUUUGGGUUUUUG
RNAcentral lists this long non-coding RNA (231 nucleotides) under Olea europaea (common olive). RNAcentral describes it as "long non-coding RNA (OEUR_LNC007368)". Lineage: Eukaryota; Viridiplantae; Streptophyta; Magnoliopsida; Lamiales; Oleaceae. The record is from RNAcentral.